This 468-nucleotide ribosomal RNA is filed under the name uncultured bacterium. Its description in RNAcentral is "partial 16S ribosomal RNA". It matches the Rfam family "Bacterial small subunit ribosomal RNA", at positions 28 to 507 of the family's 1533-position model. The record is from RNAcentral.
GACGAACGCUGGCGGCGUGCUUAACACAUGCAAGUCGAACGGAAAGGCCCUGCGUUUGUGGGGUGCUCGAGUGGCGAACGGGUGAGUAACACGUGAGUAACCUGCCCUUGACUUUGGGAUAACUUCAGGAAACUGGGGCUAAUACCGGAUAGGAGCUCCUGCUGCAUGGUGGGGGUUGGAAAGUUUCGGCCGUUGUGGAUGGACUCGCGGCUUAUCAGCUUGUUGGUGGGGUAGUGGCUUACCAAGGCUUUGACGGGUAGCCGGCCUGGGAGGGUGACCGGCCACAUUGGGACUGAGAUACGGCCCAGACUCCUACGGGAGGCAGCAGUGGGGAAUAUUGCACAAUGGGCGGAAGCCUGAUGCAGCAACGCUGCGUGCGGGAUGCCGGCCUUCGGGUUGUAAACCGCUUUCGCCUGUGACGAAGCGUGAGUGACGGUAAUGGGUAAAGAAGCACCGGCUAACUACGUG